Marmota marmota marmota (Alpine marmot) is the source of this 106-nucleotide small nuclear RNA. The record is from Ensembl. NCBI's taxonomy places the organism in Eukaryota, Metazoa, Chordata, Mammalia, Rodentia, Sciuridae.
GUGCUCACUUGGGCAGCACAUAUACUAAAACUGGAACGAUACAGAGAAGAUUAGCAUGGCCCCUACAUAAGAUGACACACAAAUUCAUGAAGCAUUCCAUAUUUUU